This 55-nucleotide transfer RNA is filed under the name Tamandua tetradactyla (southern tamandua). RNAcentral's name for it is "transfer RNA-Arg". Lineage: Eukaryota; Metazoa; Chordata; Mammalia; Pilosa; Myrmecophagidae. The record is from RNAcentral.
UGAUAAUUAGUUUAACUUAAAACAAAUGAUUUCGACUCAUUAAAUCAUGAUCCAA